This 481-nucleotide ribosomal RNA is filed under the name uncultured bacterium. Its description in RNAcentral is "partial 16S ribosomal RNA". It matches the Rfam family "Bacterial small subunit ribosomal RNA", at positions 28 to 507 of the family's 1533-position model. The record is from RNAcentral.
GAUGAACGCUGGCGGCGUGCCUAACACAUGCAAGUCGAACGGAGAUUACGGACGGAAGUUUUCGGAUGGAAGCCUGUAAUUCUUAGUGGCGGACGGGUGAGUAACGCGUGAGCAACCUGCCCUAUACAGGGGGAUAGCAGCUGGAAACGGCUGGUAAGACCGCAUAAGUCGGUUAAAUCGCAUGAUUUGAUCGGGAAAUGAGCAAUCAGGUAUAGGAUGGGCCCGCGUCCGAUUAGCCAGUUGGCAGGGUAAAAGCCUACCAAAGCGACGAUCGGUAGCCGGACUGAGAGGUCGGACGGCCACAUUGGGACUGAGACACGGCCCAAACUCCUACGGGAGGCAGCAGUGGGGGAUAUUGCACAAUGGAGGAAACUCUGAUGCAGCGACGCCGCGUGAGUGAAGAAGUAUUUCGGUAUGUAAAGCUCUAUCAGCAGGGAAGAUGAUGACGGUACCUGACGAAGAAGCCCCGGCUAACUACGUG